RNAcentral lists this ribosomal RNA (1002 nucleotides) under uncultured bacterium. RNAcentral describes it as "bacterial SSU rRNA". It matches the Rfam family "Bacterial small subunit ribosomal RNA", at positions 356 to 1376 of the family's 1533-position model. The record is from RNAcentral.
GGGGAAUAUUGCACAAUGGGGGAAACCCUGAUGCAGCGACGCCGCGUGAGCGAAGAAGUAUUUCGGUAUGUAAAGCUCUAUCAGCAGGGAAGAAAAUGACGGUACCUGACUAAGAAGCACCGGCUAAAUACGUGCCAGCAGCCGCGGUAAUACGUAUGGUGCAAGCGUUAUCCGGAUUUACUGGGUGUAAAGGGAGCGUAGACGGCUGUGUAAGUCUGAAGUGAAAGCCCGGGGCUCAACCCCGGGACUGCUUUGGAAACUAUGCAGCUAGAGUGUCGGAGAGGUAAGUGGAAUUCCCAGUGUAGCGGUGAAAUGCGUAGAUAUUGGGAGGAACACCAGUGGCGAAGGCGGCUUACUGGACGAUGACUGACGUUGAGGCUCGAAAGCGUGGGGAGCAAACAGGAUUAGAUACCCUGGUAGUCCACGCCGUAAACGAUGACUACUAGGUGUCGGGGAGCAAAGCUCUUCGGUGCCGCAGCAAACGCAAUAAGUAGUCCACCUGGGGAGUACGUUCGCAAGAAUGAAACUCAAAGGAAUUGACGGGGACCCGCACAAGCGGUGGAGCAUGUGGUUUAAUUCAAAGCAACGCGAAGAACCUUACCUGCUCUUGACAUCCCGGUGACCGGCGUGUAAUGACGCCUUUUCUUCGGAACACCGGUGACAGGUGGUGCAUGGUUGUCGUCAGCUCGUGUCGUGAGAUGUUGGGUUAAGUCCCGCAACGAGCGCAACCCUUAUCUUCAGUAGCCAGCAAUUCGGAUGGGCACUCUGGAGAGACUGCCAGGGAUAACCUGGAGGAAGGUGGGGAUGACGUCAAAUCAUCAUGCCCCUUACGAGCAGGGCUACACACGUGCUACAAUGGCGUAAACAAAGGGAAGCGAGCCUGCGAGGGUAAGCAAAUCUCAAAAAUAACGUCUCAGUUCGGAUUGUAGUCUGCAACUCGACUACAUGAAGCUGGAAUCGCUAGUAAUCGCGAAUCAGCAUGUCGCGGUGAAUACGUUCCCG